Molecule: long non-coding RNA, 11851 nt
Filed under: Homo sapiens (human)
Lineage: Eukaryota; Metazoa; Chordata; Mammalia; Primates; Hominidae
Description: non-protein coding lnc-ZFHX4-6:6
Source: RNAcentral
ACACCAACGAGAACUGCGCUUUAGCGGCGCUGCUGAAGGCACUGGAUGGCCAAACAACCGCGAACGCCGACAAGCCGAAGAGCCGAAGGGCCGAAAAGCCGAAGCGGACACCCGCGCGCGGUGAUUGGCCGGUUGGCCGGAAGAACUCUGUCUCUGAUUGGCAGGAGAGUCACGAACCGGUCAGCCCCGGGUCAGGGGCCGCAAGUGAGGACACUACAAGUGUCGAGGGGCCUAGGGGAAGCCGGGGCUUGGGAGGGCAGGGCUUUCUCUGCUUGCGGACAUCGCGAAGGGCCUCUGGCAGGCGCCGCCGGGUGGCGGCGAGACGCCUCCGCGCCUCCGGGGUUCCUUGUUCGCUGUCGGAGGAGGACCGGCUGAGGGAUGGCCUGGUGGGGAGGGAGCCCUCGGGCAGGUGGCUGCGUCGGGCCUGGGGCAGUUGUGCUGCGCUUGGAGACCUGCCCGCCCUCGGGGCCUGUGUGCACAGGGAGGAUAGGCUGUUUAUCUCUGCAGGCUCAGGAAGGCAGGUAGCUGGCCCGUCAGUCAUCCGCCCUGCAAAGCGCUCCCGAGAGACCCCGUAGAGCGGGCCAGCGCGCGCCUGGCCUGAGGUUUCCCGCCCCCGGAGGCCCUCACAUCUCCCCGGUAACGCUUAGGAAUUCGGGCAGCCAGCUCGCCUACCCCUGGGGAAUCGAGGCAGAGCUUCUGGGAAUGGGGUCUGAGGGAAGAGUGCUCACCAGGCAGUGACAUGUAGCCGUUGAGGAUCGCCACUGCCUUCUCGUUCUGUGGUAUGAAUGGCAGUGUCUCUCUAGAGAGUUAGUGCUUAAGUUUGAAUGAUGGCAGGCACUUCAGGAUUCCAGCACGUAGUAGGGUUUAAGAACGUCUUAGUUCUUACCUCCAGUCUCGACUCACCGUUCCUACAAGGAACACUCACUUCUACGAAAGCUCUAUUAGACAUUCGAGGGAGAGCUUAUACUGUAGAACCAGUGUUAUUAGGAAAGUUUUUUUUUUUUUGCUUGUAUUUUUAUUUCAGAAACUACCCAUGGAGCAGAGUUGCUAAAAUAAAAUUUAUUAACUCUAAUGCUAUCCAAAUUGUGAAACAAUGGUACAAAUGAGAUAGAGUAGAAGCUACAAAUUGAUAGAGUAUGUAGUUCACUUAGGGGUUUGGGAGUGGAUUUUCUAGAGCUGCAACUGUCCAGUGUAGUAGUCACUGGCCACCUGAAAAGUGGCUAGUCUGAACUGAGGUCUGCUCUAAGUGUAGAACAUGCACCAGAUUUCUAAAGCGUGGUCUGAAAAGAAAAAGAAUGUAAAGUAUUUCAUUAAUUUUAUAUUGCUUACAUGUCAAAAUGAGAAUGUUUUGGAAAAUUUUAAAUUACGUGGCUUCCAUUAUAUUUCUAUGGAUACUGCUGUUCUAGAGAGUAAAAAAAUCUCACUGAAGAAGAGUAGGCCUUUCGUUUAGCAACUGUGAAGAAAACCAACCACGCUGCACCUCUCAGGUAGCCUACAGAUGUGCUGUGCUUCACUUAAUUUUUGAGAGGGACGGGGGAAAAUACACACAAAGACUUGAUUGACAUAGAGGACAUUUUCAGAAAGCAAAUUCUGGUUCAUAGAGCCUUAUGUAUGUCAUGUGAACAUCACACAGUAGCGAAUGAAAAUAAUAAAGAUAUCAAGAAACUUGAAUCAUAUUUAAUGAAUCUCAUUAAGAAUGCGGGGAAACAUGCAACAGUUAAAAUUCUGUUGAAAUUGUUUAAAAUAAGUUCUAGAUUUUAAUGUUUAACCUGUAGAUACAGUAUACCUUCUUAAUUUUCCCAUGAGCUGGUGAGCUGAGGUUCCAGGGAAGCUUUGUUUCCAGUUUUUUAAAGAUAUAUUUAUUUUUCAUUCAUUUAUUUAACAAAAGCUUUCUGAGGCCCGGGAGUUUUGCUAGGCAGUGUUGAUAAAAAUGUGAAGACAGAAAACAGACACGGCUCUUACUCUCUCAGAGCUAAUUCAUAUCAGUUCAGAGGCAGUGAAUAAGUAAAUAAUAACCAAGACAGAAUAUUUUCUUCUUAGUAAAUGUUUACCUCUGUAAAUGCAAAACAUGAGUUAUUUUAAACCUAGAAUUUAUAUAUUUCUAGUGACAUGUUAAGAGUCUUUAUUAGAACUUGGCUGUGGACUUAAAAAUAUUAGGAAAAAAAUCAAAGUUAAUUUGUUCAUUAACUAUGAGAAGUUAAAGAAGAAAAAUUAAAAUUGUUUUUUUAACCUUUACAUAGAAAAGAUGGAAACAUUUUAUAAUAGCAUUUUAUAUCCUCUUUAGCCUUUUAGCAACUUUUAGAUUCUAAGAAUUUAACAAUAGAAAUGUAAAUAAGACAUUGAUUUAUGUCCCUAAUAUAGUUUUAAAAUGCUGACUUUAAGAAGUUAAAUUUAUUCUAGAAUAUUAUGUAGUUCCUAAAUCAAUAUAUUUGAGUCUUUUAGGAAAAAGUUAAGUAUGGAUCUUAUAUUAGUUUACCAUUAAUACUAUUUCUGUAACAAAGUUAGAAGCUCAAACCACCACCAAUUUAUUACCUUACAGUUCUGUAGUCAGAAGUCCAACAUGGUUCUCAAUGGCCUAAAAUCAAGGUGUCCACAGGAUUGUGUUCCUUUCUAGAGAGGUAAGGGAAGAAUCUGAUUUUUUUUUUUUUUUUGCUUAUUCAGGUUGUUGGACAAAUUGAGUCCCUUGCUCUUGUAGCUGUUCUCCCUGUUUCUUUGCUGGCUGUCAGCUAAGAGCUGUUUUCAGCUUCUAGAGGCCACUCACAUUUCCUUGGUUAUGGCCCUCUUCGUCUCCAAAGCCAGCAAUGGUGGAUUGAGACCCUUUCAUCCUUGUAAAUCUUUCUUUCUUCUUCUUCCAUUGCUGUAUCUCUCCAAUUACAGCCUUUUAAGAAUCCAUUGGUUAGACAGAAUCUCCCCCGCUCAAGGUUCAUAACUUUUAUUUACAUCUGCAAAGUUGCUUUUGCGGUAAUAAUGUAACAUAUUCACAGCUUACAGGGAUUGGGGAAUGGAUAUAUUUAGGAGCCAUUAUUCUACCUAUCUCAGAUCUCAAUUGGGGCCAUGCAGUAUAUCCAGUGUUUCAUACCACUAUUCUCAAUACUUUAUGUUAGAAUAAUAAUAUUGAUAAUAGGUAAAUUUUGUUGGUUAUAUAAUAUGCUCAAGGUACUUUUCUGAGCCCUUUUACUAAAUUCACUCAUUUAAUCCUCAGAACUACCCUAGGAGGCAAACACUGUUAUUGUUCCCACUCACAGAUGAGGAAACAGGUACUGAAAGCUGAAGUAACUUGUCGAAUUUCUCACAGCCAUUAAAUGGUGAAAUGGAGAUCUGAACCUAGGUAGUCUGGUUCCAGAGCCUGUGCAUGCUCUGAAGCUCAACAUAAUAAAAAUAAUUUCUACAUACCUGGAUUUAACUAAACAUGUGUUGAUGAUACAGUGGCUAUGAAUUCAGGUUCUGACAUCACCUUGUGGAUUCAAAUUCUACCUACCCAUUACUGAAUGACCCUGGGCAAGUUACUUGACCUCUCUGAGACUUAACAAUAAACUGAACCAAUAAUAAUAGUUGAGAAUUAAACAAAUACUAUAUGUAAGGUACUUAGAGCACUGCCUCUACAUACAGUCAUUCAUAACAAUAGAGAUACGUUUUGAGAAGUGCGUCAUUAGGCUAUUUUGUUGUGUGAACAUCGUAGAGUGUACUUACACAAACCUAGAUGAUGUAGUCUACUACAUACCUAGGCUACAUGGGAUAACCUUUUGCUCCUAGGCUACAAACCCGCACAGCGUGUUACUGUACUGAGUACUAUAGGUAGUUGUAACACAGUGGUAAGUAUUUGUGCAUCUAACCAUGUCUAAACAUAGAAAAAUUGCAGUAAAAAUACAGUAUUAUAAUCUUAGGGACCACUGUUGUGUAUGUGGGCCAUCAUUGACUGAAACAUCAUUAUGCAGUGCAAGCAAUUGCUAGCUGUAAUUAUUGAUGACAAUUCAACUUUUAAAAACAGUAUUUAUUAUAAAAAGAAAUGUUUCCUUUAGAGAUCAGUCUUUCCUUGUAAAAUAAAAACUGAAAAUUAAAAUUUUUACUUUAAUACACUACAGUGCUAUCUCCUUUCUCAGACUCUGAUUUCUCCUCACUCUAGGCUAGCAUCUAUCGUUCUAACCAUGGUACCUUCAGUGUUAUCUGAUCAUGCAUUCUAAAUACUUUGUCCAGAUCCUAGUAUCUGCAGGCUAAUAUUCAAACUCUCUAGAAGGGCACCAGGACUUUUCACACAUUCCAGAGACUCUCUCUUGCCAUUCCUCUGCUGGGUAUUUACACAGCCAUCAAUUCUAACUUUUCACUGCUCUCGUUUGCUAUUAUUAUUCUUUGAGGGAGACUUAUGUGUGUGGAGGGGACUCUGGGGAGUAUGGACAAUGUCAUAUCCUGGGUCCCCUUCCAUAAUGCCUGCUAAUACCACUCCAAAUUCACUCUCUCUUUUAAUAAUCUUUCCUGCACUUGCCUUAAUUCAAACCCUCAUUAUCCUUGCACUUUAAGCCAUCUCUUAACAAAUUGGUGGCCUCCAGCCUCACUGCCCUUCAGGCUUACUAUCCUUGCUUGCUGGAAUGAUCUCUAAACUACAAAACUCUAUAUGUUACUCUCCUUCUUCAAACCAUUCAGUGUCCCCUCUGCCAGGUCCUACAAAUAUUACUCUUUUUUCUGUGCCUCUUGGUACCAGUUACAUGCUUCUACCGUAACUUAAAAGGUGUCACACAGUUGUUUAUUUAAAUACAUAUCUUCCCUUCUAAAUCAGGAGCUCAUGGAUAAUAGAGCCAUAAGAGAUGGUUUUGCUUUAAUGAAUUUAUAUUAUUUCAUGAUAACAUAAAUUAUUGUAUUAUUGUAUCAUCUGUCUCUUGUCACUAAUCUGUGAACUCUUUAAGGGGAGACUAAUUGUUUUAUUCAUUUCUCUUUUUCCUCUAUGCCCGUGGCAUAGGAGGUACUUAGUAAUUGGUCAAUGAAUGAUUUGGGAAAAAUAAUCCAGAAUAUAUACAAUUUUUUAGUCUGCUUCAGUCUAAAUAAAUAUAUGAAACUAUGUAUUUGGAAUAUAUAUGAUUUCAUUAUGAUUAUUAUAUACAAUUCAAUUAUGAUUUUAGAAGAAGCAUAAUUCCUGUACUCUGGAGCCAGAGUGCCUGAGUUUGAAUUCUGGCUCUGCCACUUACAAGCUUGGGGAAGUUUUCUUGGGAAAGCUAAUCAAAAUUGUGUUUGUUGUUUGUCUGUAGAAGAAGAAUGAUAAUAGUAACUGUCUUUUAAGUUAAUAGAACUAAAUGAAUAAUAUUUAUAACGUAUCUAUGACUUUAGACUCUAUAAUAGUGUCUACCACCUAGUAAAUGUUCUACAAGUGCUUGUUAAAUAAAAACAUAAUAGUUUUUAUUCUCAUUGCUUUUGAUGAUAGGUAAUGGUCUUGAAAUACAAUGAUUUAGAAAAAAUCGUCCCGUACUUUCUAGUGGUGUUUUGAACUAGUUUUUUUACUCAAUGAUUUUUAAUAUUGUACAUUCUAGAAUGAUCAUAUAUAUUCCUUCAACAUUUAGAGAGUACCUGUGUGUGAUCUCUCUCAGGAAACACUUACAUAUUUUCUCUUUGUAUUAUUUUUCUGUUGCCAUUAUAACAAAUUACCACAAACUUAGUUGCUUAAAACAACGUAAAUUUAUUAUAUUAUUAUUCUAUAGAUCAGAUGUCUGACAAUAAUCUCACCAACCUAAGAUCAAGUUGACAGCAGGGUAGCACUCUUUACUGGAGACUGCAGGCUAGAAUCUGUUUUCUUGCCUUUUCCCAUUUUGGAGGCUGUCCACAUUCAUUGGCUCUUGGCCCCCUUCUUCUACCUUCAAAGCCUGCAAUGUUGCAUCUCUCUAAUCAUUCUGGCAUAAUCACAAGUGUUUCUCUGACCACAGCCAGGAAUGGUUCUCUGCUUUUAAAGGAUUCUUGUGAUAAAAUUGGACCCACCUGGAUAAACCAUGUCAGUCUUCCCAUUUCAAGAACCUUAACUUGAUUACAUGUGCAAAAUUCCUUUCCCUAUGUAAAGUAAUUUAUUCAUAAGUUCUAUGGAUUGGAGUAUGGACUUCUUUGGAGGACUGUUAUUCUGCCUACCACACUCUUGUACUGUAAAUGAGUCACUGUGGAAAGGUAAUAGGUUGUAGCUUCUGAAAAUAAAGAUAAAUGUUAGCUAGAUUGUUAACAGUAGUGUCAGUAUCAUUUAUGACUCUACUGGUUGUUGAGAGCGAAGUUGGCUUAGUAGAAUGCUUAGGUACUGCAGGGCUCACUGAUUAUGUCUUUGUCUCCUAGGAUUUUUAUUCUACUAGAGAGGGAAGAAUACAUUCAUAUUUGUUGCAUAUCUGCCGUGUCCUAGGUACUCUACAAUGAACUACAGAUACAUUAAUCCCAUUUAAUUUCCACAAUAACUUUAUGAGGUGUGGUAGGAGGCCUUCUAAGAUGACCCAAUGAUCUCCAUCACAUAGCACUCACCCCCUUGUAUAAUCUCCCUCCUUUGAAUGUAAGCUUAACCCAGUGACUCUACCAAUGAACAGAGUAGGACAAUAGUGAUAGUAUAUCAUUUCUGAGAUUGGAUUCCAGAAAACUAUGACUUGUCUCUCACUUACACUGUCUGUCUCUUGCCCUCUUAUUUGCUUGCUUUGAUGAAGCAAGCUGCAGUGUGGUAAACUGCCUUUGAAAGAGACCCACAUGUCAAGAAACUGAGCAUCACCUGUGACCAACAGCCAGAAAGUAACUGAAGCCCCAAGACGAACAGCUUGUGCAAAACUAAAUUCUGCCUACAACAAGAGCAUGAAUUGAGACGCAGAUCCUUCCCUAGUUGAUCCUUGAAAUGCUUGCAGCUCUAUGGACACCUUGAUUGCAGCCUUGUGAGAAAUUCUGAACUAGAGGACCUCGUAUGCCUUACCCAUAGGUCUUACAAGAUAAUACGUGUUUUUCAAAAAAGUAAGUUUGGGGAUAAUUUCUUAUGCAGCAAUAGAUAAUGAAUAAUAAAGUAAAUACAGUUUUUUGCUGUUGACUUCAAAAAUGUUUAAAGAUUUUACUGUUAUAUAAUUGUACAUAUUUAUGGGGUACAUGUGAUAUUUUGAUACAUGCAUACAAUGUGUAAUGAUCAAACUGGGGUAAUUUGAAUAUCCAUCACCUCAAAUGUUAUUUAGUGGUAUUGGGAACAUUCCAAAUCUUGUAGGUAUUUUGAAAUAUACAAAAAGUUAAUUUUAUAUAUAAAUAUAUGUCAUAUAUUAUUAAUAUAUUAAUAAUAUAUGCCAUAUAUAUAUAUGUAUGUAUAAAUGCCAUAUAUAUUAAUUACAUGUAUGGCAUGUUUUCUUUUAUACAUUUAUCCACUGAUAAACACUUAGGUUCCUUCCUUACCUUGGCUAUUGUGAAUAGUGCUGCAAUAAACAUGGGAGUGUAGAUAAUCUCUUUGAUGCACUAGUUUUCUUUCUUUUGGAUGUAUACCUAGCAGUGAGAAUGCAGGAUCAUAUGGUAGAUAUAUUUUUAGUUUUUUGAGGAACUUUCAUACUGUUUUUUACAGUGGCUGUGCUUAUUUACAUUCCCACCAACAGUGUGUGAGUGUUCACAUCCUUGCCAGUAUUUAUUAUUUUUUGUCCUUUGAUAAUUUUAACUGGAGUGAAGUGAUAUAAUUGUGGUUUUGAUUUGCAUUUCCCUAAUGAUUAGUGAUGUUGGGUAUUUUUUUUAAUACCUGUUGGCCAUUUGUAUGUAUUCUUUUAUGAAGCAUCUAUUUAGAUCAUUUGUCCAUUUGUAAAUCAGAUUAUUUGUUUUUUUGCUAUUGAGUUGUUUGAGUUUCUUAUAUGUUCUGGUUAUUAAUCCCUUGUUGGAUGGAUAGUUUGCAAAUAUUUUAUCCCAUUCUGCAGGUUGUCUCUUUAUUGAUUGUUUCCUUUGCUGUGCAGAAGCUUUGCUUUAGUACAGAUAAUAAAACAAAUACUUGGAAAGAUUAGGCAACUUCCUGGGUCACUUAAUUAUUAGUAGAAGCUCUUUCCACUGCAAAUAGUGAUGAUAAUAGUAAUAAAAUUGAAGUAUUAGUAGUUGCUUAUGUUUAUUGAGCAAUUACUAGGUAUUAGACAACUUUCAGUGCAUUUUAUAUGUUAUAAUCUUAGAUUAUUACAACUUUAUAAAGUAGGUACUAUAAUUAUCUCAUUUGAUAAAUGAUGAAAUUGGAUUUAAGAGAGGUCAAACUAUAUUCCCAAGAUCCGCAGUGAGCCAGUAGAUUGGCAGGAUUUGAACUCAGGUUGUAUGGCUCUUGAGUUCUCACUCUUACCACUAUAAUAAAUUGUUCCCUAAAGAUCCAUGCUAUGAGGCAAAAGGUGAUGGUGCAGCAGGAAGAAAUGAAAGGUUACAGUCUGUCAGGCGAAUGAGAUUAUCCCUGACCAAGUUAUUAGGAAAUGCUGUGGCACUAGGAAGGUAUCCGACAUGGCUCUGAAAGGCUGGGUAGAAUUUAAGCUUCUGGCUGUUAGAGGAAAGAGCAUAAUCAGCUGAGCAAGACAGCUGGAGAAGCAUGAGCUGGAAGACACCAGCUCACAGCAUCUAGAGCUGCAUCAGGAUGAGGAAAAGUGGGAGAUAAAUUUAGAAAGAUAGUUUGGGGCCUGGAGAUAGUUAUGUAAAAAAAAAAAAAGAAUGUAUUGUUUAUAAAAUUAUUGAUUCUUGAGGUUUGUGACUAGUAGUUUAAAUCAACUACAUCUUAAACUAUUUAGUGGCACUAUUAUAGAGAUGAUAUUCGGGUAAAUUUGAAACACACAGAGAAUCAGAUUGUAUAGAUUGUAUGAAAAUAUGAAAUUUAGUUUCAGUACAGUACAAAAGAAAACUUAUGAAUGUACACUGAACAUUUUGUGUGGUUAAACUUCUUGACACAUUAAAAAAUGUGUUAAGUUUAUAUUUAGUUUCAGCAAAACUGCAUGAAUCAUUAUAUAUCAACAUAUACAGGUAUUUUUUUCUUAUAAAAAUAGUAUUAUUGGUGGUUACAUGCAAAGAACAUUAAGCAUUCCACUAAAAACAGAGCUUAUAGAAAUGAAGAAAAAAUUUCAUUAUGAUUGUGUUUUAGUUACCUGGGAGUAGGCCUUAAAAACAGAAGUAUUUUUUUCUUCAAAACAUUCAGAUUCACUAGAUGAAAAUUUAAUUUUGUAGGAUGUCUGUACAGUUCAACUUUGAUUAUGGUGUGAGCUUUCAAUUUAGACAAUUUAUCAUUACAUGGAGAGGAAUUUUUUCUCUUAAGCCAGAUUGAGUUUUCUUUCCAGGGAAUAGAUGAAUCCAGGAGAAAUCUUUCCACAGCUUAUACCUAGCCAAUGGACAGCUCAUUGAAUAAUGGCAAAAGGAAAAUAUGUAAUAUCUUUUCCUAUAGUCUCUCUUUGACCUUGACUUAUCUCAAAAUUCUCCUAUUCAUAGAUUAAAGCAGUUUACAUUUCGAUUCCUAAAUUUGGGGGUUGGACUUCUGCUUCAAAACAGUACAAAGCAGGCAGUUGAUAAUAUAAAAUAUAUGCAGAGGCCUGACUGAUUUGCCUCUGACAGUUGUGUGACCUUUGGAAGGUCUCUUAACUGUCAAGGCCCUCAGUUUCUUAAUCUCUCAUCUGUUUGACAUGUCCUCUAAAAUUUUUCCUUUGUUUUAAUGGAUUAGGAUUCUACAGGCCAAUUUUUUAUGGCUGCAGUUUCAACCUGAUCGUGCAGUUAAACAUGUGGGCCUUUGUGCUGUCUAUAUGUUUUAUUUGAAGUCAUCUUUUCUAUGUCUGUAGCUUUACAGGAAUAACAUAAUUACAUCCAUAAGAGAGGCUAAGUCCUAAAUUCCUAGCCUAGCCCAAGUUUGGCUUCACUUCUUGCUAAUUUUGAUCUUAAAAUUUAGGAGAGGCUACUCCCUCUACCUCAUAGCCAGACAGAUUCUGUACUAUCCCUAGAGGAAUAAUCUUGAAGCCCUUUCAUUUUAAAAUAUCUCCCUUUUCUGUAUGUAUUUAAGUGUUUGUACUAUAUAUCUUACUGCCAUAACAGAGGAAGCCAGUGAGGUAAUGAGAAAAAAUAUAUGGCAAUUAUUUGACCUGACAUCAUUAACCUUAACAGCCUCAGCAUCCAAUACCUACCUUCAUCCCCAGCCCCUACGCUCCCACCUGGAAGACUGCAGUGACCCUUAGAGGCAGGACAUUUCUUUGAAAAGAAGCCUUUGGAACUCUGUCUGGAAAGGGUAUUUUGAACACUCAUUACUUCAGAGUUUCAGGACGAGUCUGAGGUCAAUAUUCUUGUAUCCCACAAAAAAUAUGAGUAGAAUAAAGGAUUAUAUACAUACACUAGCAUUUCACAUGAUUUCCAAACAGUCAGAAAGUAUCCAGAAGUCCUGGUUUUUCUUGAGUUCCUGAAUUAAUGAAUUUUUCCUCCUCAUUUUAGAAGGAUCUAAUGAUUAAACAUUGCUCCCAAGUACUUCUGGGUCAUAGAAAUUCUCUGAGAGUUGGAUAAAGAAGAUGCUGUAGAGUUACAAGAACUGGGCUUGAAGUUAAGGAGACCUGAUAGCUUAUAUCCACAUACUCAUUGAGUUGAGUGCCCUUGAGCAAAUGAUAGAACAUCUGAGGGCUUUAGUACUUCAUGCGAAAAUGAAGAAUAUGGGCUAGAUAAAUUUAGUGAACUUUUCCAAUUCUAAAUUUAUAUGAUUCUAAGAGUAAGUUGCCAAGUGUCUAUAGAUACUUUGGAUUACACCCAGGCACCAAGGCGAAUGUCAACGGGUAGUGCUGCUUAGCUAGGCUUUGACAUUAUCCAGAGUAGUAGAGGUGGAAGCUUAAUUCAUUUGGUUUCCAAAAACUACUGAGGGAUGAGUAGCCCUGAGAAUAUAAGACUAGGCUAGUCUUUGCUACACCAUCUUGAAGUGUUUUGUUUUAUAAUAUUCAGUUUACAGAGAUUUAGUAAAUUUAAGGUGACUUUUAGCCAUUAUUACAGAAAGACAGUAUAAAAUCUAUGAUUUCUUUACUUAUUCAUUUUAAAUCCUAUUAUUUAAAAAUUAUCCUUGUUAGAAAAUCUUACUAAGGUUUAUUAAUCAAAUGGCAAUCAAUGAAAUAAGAUUUGUACUGAAUGUAUGACACUAUAUUAGUCACUUUGGGAGGAUAUAAACAUUUGUGGGAGCGUGCUUGCCCUUAGUUUGUAUGUUAGGAGAAGAGAAAAGUCACUAAGAAAUAAAAAUAUGAACAAGAAUGAAAGAAUCAAAAUGCUCAGGACAUUUUGCAGGAGAAUGGAAUUAAUCUAAAAGAAAGAAUGUAUCCUUUGGUUUUUUAAUGAAAUAACUUUGGGAGUACUUUUUAAAAUUAAAGAUUAUUUUACUUAGAAGCAGAUUGAAAUCUUUCUUUUUCCAGCCUGCAGAGCUCUCUUUAAAGAUAAACGUUGCAGUGGUAUUUUUAAUUAUUAAGGCUGGGCACUUAUUUCCUUCUUACACUCACACACUUCCAAGGGGAUUUGGAACAUGGAAGAAUUUCAUAGCUAUUUAGAGAAAUGAGAACUUAGGUCUUUAUAAUUGCAAAUGUUACUUUCCAGUUCUAAGUUCAGGCUCUAUUCUCCAUGGUAUUGAAUCUUCCAAGUUGUGAUACAUCAAUAUAAUGUAUGAUCUGUGCCUGAACAUCCAAACAUUUGUAAGUUUCUAGGAUAGAUGAAGGCAAAUUUGUUUCAGCUAGCUUUGUUAUGAUUUAUUUUUUCUAAGUGGUUAGUAACUUACCAAUUAAAUAUAUAAUUUGGAAAAUAAAAUUUGAUAAUUUUUUCUCUUUCACAAGUAAUUGUAGCUCAAACACAAAGCAAUACUAAUGUAGUCUGGCUGUCUAUGGGCAAGUUACCUGAAGCAGUGUCUGAGCGUGUUUAGUCAUAAGCCUAAGACAAC